GUCCAGGCCUGGCCUCAGGCGCCUGUAGUCCCAGCUGCCUGGGAGACUGAGGUAGGAGGAUCAUCUGAGCCCAGGAGUUCUGGGCUAUAGUGGACUAUGCCAAUCAGGUGUCCACACCAAGUUUAGUAUUGAUGUGGUGACCUCCUGGGAGCAGGGGACCCGCAGGUUGCCUAAGGAGGGGCGAACCAGCCCAAGUUGGAAAUAACAGGUCAGAACUCCCGUGCUGAUCAGUAUUGGGAUGGUGCCUGUGGGUAGCCACUGCACUCCAGCCUGGGCAACAUAGCAAGACCCUGUCA
Molecule: signal recognition particle RNA, 296 nt
Filed under: Carlito syrichta (Philippine tarsier)
Lineage: Eukaryota; Metazoa; Chordata; Mammalia; Primates; Tarsiidae
Description: Metazoan signal recognition particle RNA (ENSTSYG00000033759.1)
Rfam family: Metazoan signal recognition particle RNA
About the family: The signal recognition particle (SRP) is a universally conserved ribonucleoprotein. It is involved in the co-translational targeting of proteins to membranes. The eukaryotic SRP consists of a 300-nucleotide 7S RNA and six proteins: SRPs 72, 68, 54, 19, 14, and 9.
Source: RNAcentral